CUCGUAGGCGGCUUGUCGCGUCGACUGUGAAAACCCGUGGCUCAACCAUGUGGUCUGCAGUCGAUACGGGCAGGCUAGAAUUCGGUAGGGGAGACUGGAAUUCCUGGUGUAGCGGUGAAAUGCGCAGAUAUCAGGAGGAACACCGGUGGCGAAGGCGGGUCUCUGGGCCGAUAUUGACGCUGAGGAGCGAAAGCGUGGGGAGCGAACA
RNAcentral lists this ribosomal RNA (208 nucleotides) under uncultured bacterium. Its description in RNAcentral is "partial 16S ribosomal RNA". It matches the Rfam family "Bacterial small subunit ribosomal RNA", at positions 568 to 774 of the family's 1533-position model. The record is from RNAcentral.